CUCAGGAUGAACGCUGGCGGCGUGCCUGAGAUAUGCAAGUCGAGCGUCCCCAUGCGCAAGUGUGGGGAGCGGCGGACGGCUGAGUAAUACAUAGGAAUCUCCCCCUAGGUAGAGAAUAGUCCACCGAAAGGUGGGGUAAUACUCUAUGGUAUCCCGAUUUAUCGGGAUUAAAGGACGUAACUGUUCGCCAAGGGAUGAGCCUAUGGCCUAUCAGGUAGUUGGUGGGGUAAUGGCCUACCAAGCCUAUGACGGGUAGCUGGUCUGAGAGGAUGGUCAGCCAGAGGGGGACUGAGACACGGCCCCCACUCCUACGGGAGGCAGCAAUCAGGAAUAGUCGGCAAUGGGCGAAAGCCUGACCGCGCGACGCCGCGUGUAGGAAUAAGCUCUAACGAGCGUAAACUACUGUGGUAGGGGAAGAAGGUCUGAUGUAAGUCAGAUUUGACGGUACCCUAUUAGAAAGGAGCCGCUAACUGCGUGCCAGAAGCGUCGGUAAUACGUGGGCUCCGAGCGUUAUCCGGUUUUAUUGGGCGUAAAGGGUCGUGUAGGCGCCCCAUCAAGUUUUGUUUUAAAUCCUGUGGCUCAACCACAGCAAAGGACAAAAUACUGGCGGGGUAGAGUUUUCUUAAGGGAGACUAGAACUUAGGGAGGAGUAGUGAAAUGCGUUGAUACCCUAGGGAAUACCAGUGGCGAAGGCGAGUCUCUGGAAGAAAACUGACGCUGAGACACGAAAGCUAGGGGAGCGAAGCAGAUUAGAGACCUGCGUAGUCCUAGCCUUAAACGCAUGUUUGCUGGCUGCAUUUUUUCCGCCUUUAUGGUGGACUAGGUGUAGCGAAGGUAACCCGUUAAGCAAACCGCCUGGGGAGUACGGCCGCAAGGUUGAAACUCAAAGGAAUUGGCGGGGAGGCACACAACCAGUGGAACAUGUGGUUUAAUUCGAGACGAAACGAAGAACCUCACCAGGACUUGACAUACUAGCGUUCUAUCUUGCAGAAAUGUGAGAAAUGCGCAAGCAGGUUAGUACAGGUGUUGCAUGGCUGUCGUCAGCUCGUUCCGUGAGGAGUGCCCUUAAGUGGGACAACGAGCGCAACCCCUAUCUUGUGUUAAAUUUGUCACAAGAGACCGCCCCGACAUAACGUCGGGGAGGAAGGAGGGGCAGACGUCAAGUCAGCAUGAUCCUUAUGUCCUGGGCUACACACAUGUUACAAUGGACAGAAACAAUGGGCCUUGCCAACUUGCAAAGGUGAGCAAAUCCCAGAAAUCUGUUCUCAGUGGGGAUUGGGGUCUGCAACUCGACCCCAUGAACACGGAAUUGGUAGUAAUCGCGGGUCAGUCAUACCGCGGUGAAUACGUUCUUGCCUCUUGCACACACCGCCCGUCAAGCCAACAAAGUCGGAAGAAUUUGAACCCUCCUUUUUUGGAGGGGAGAAUUUUUUCGGCGAUGGGGGUUAAGUCGUAACAAGGUAU
Molecule: ribosomal RNA, 1464 nt
Filed under: metagenome
Description: bacterial SSU rRNA
Rfam family: Bacterial small subunit ribosomal RNA
Source: RNAcentral